ACAUGUCAGCGGUGAAGAUCUAUUUCACAGCUUCUUUCCUUAGCAGGAGAAGGGAUGACAUUUUGUCGGCCUCGCCUCCCUGGAGAUUAAAAACCAAGCACCAGAGGAAGGCCAGGCAGCUGACAAAUAGGCUCUUCCCCUGCUGAGGGAAGGAAAACACAAGGCCCAAGGAAAGCUUUCCUCUUCACACGGAUUGCUGACCUCGACACGACGCCUAGACAAAACCCAGUAUCAUCACCCCCAUAAAACUAAUGGUGAAAUGUCCGUCAGAGAGAAGGGAGCGGUUUUAUUCAAACAGCAAUUCAAAACAUCAUUGUUCAUGAAUGUUGUGGCAGAAAAAAGAUACGAUCUGGCAUACUGGGCACCUGGAUAUUGUUCUUAAACACAAAUUGAAAUGCCCUAAAAAUUCAA
Molecule: long non-coding RNA, 411 nt
Organism: Suricata suricatta (meerkat)
Lineage: Eukaryota; Metazoa; Chordata; Mammalia; Carnivora; Herpestidae
Exons: 2
Source: RefSeq, a predicted model, not a curated record